AAACUUAAAUGAAUUGACGGGGGCCCGCACAAGCGGUGGAGUAUGUGGUUUAAUUCGAUGAUACGCGAGAAACCUUACCUGGUCUUGACAUGUUGGGAACCCUUAAGAGAUUAGGGGGUGCCUGCUUGCAGGAGCCCAAACACAGGUGGUGCAUGGUUGUCGUCAGCUCGUGUCGUGAGAUGUUGGGUUAAGUCCCGCAACGAGCGCAACCCUUGUUGCUAGUUACCAGCACGUAAUGGUGGGAACUCUAGCGAGACUGCCGGUGACAAACCGGAGGAAGGUGGGGAUGACGUCAAAUCAUCACGCCCCUUACGACCAGGGCCACACACGUACUACAAUGCCCGGUACAACGAGUUGCCAAGCUGCGAAGCUGAGCUAAUCUCUUAAACCGGGCCAAGUUCGGAUUGGAGGCUGCAAUUCGCCUCCAUGAAGCUGGAAUCGCUAGUAAACGCAGAUCAUCAUGCUGCGUUGAAUACGUUCUCGGGCCUUGUACACACCGCCCGUCACACCAUGGAAGCCAGUAAUACCCGAAGCCGGUGAGCUAACUUAACGGAGGCAGCUGUCGAAGGUAGGAUUGGUGACUGGGGUGAAGUCGUAACAAGGUAGCCGUAGGAGAACCUGCGGCUGGAUCACCUCCUUUAUG
RNAcentral lists this ribosomal RNA (643 nucleotides) under uncultured Spirochaetales bacterium. RNAcentral describes it as "bacterial SSU rRNA". It matches the Rfam family "Bacterial small subunit ribosomal RNA", at positions 897 to 1533 of the family's 1533-position model. The record is from RNAcentral. Lineage: Bacteria; Pseudomonadati; Spirochaetota; Spirochaetia; Spirochaetales.